Molecule: ribosomal RNA, 497 nt
Filed under: uncultured bacterium
Lineage: Bacteria
Description: partial 16S ribosomal RNA
Rfam family: Bacterial small subunit ribosomal RNA
Source: RNAcentral
GAUGAACGCUGGCGGCGUGCCUAAUACAUGCAAGUCGAGCGAACAGACGAGGAGCUUGCUCCUCUGACGUUAGCGGCGGACGGGUGAGUAACACGUGGAUAACCUACCUAUAAGACUGGGAUAACUUCGGGAAACCGGAGCUAAGACCGGAUAAUAUAUUGAACCGCAUGGUUCAAUAGUGAAAGACGGUUUUGCUGUCACUUAUAGAUGGAUCCGCGCCGCAUUAGCUAGUUGGUAAGGUAACGGCUUACCAAGGCAACGAUGGGUAGCCGACCUGAGGGGGUGGUUGGCCACACUGGAAGUGAGACACGGUCCAGACUCCUGCGGGGGGCAGCGGUAGGGAAUCUUCCGCGAGGGACGAAAGCCUGACGGAGCAACGCCGCGUGAGUGAUGAAGGUCUUCGGAUCGUAAAACUCUGUUAUUAGGAAAGAACAAAUGUGUAAGUAACUAUGCUCGUCUUGACGGUACCUAAUCAGAAAGCCACGGCUAACUCCGUG